AUAUUUCAUUCACAAGAAGGUUAAAGGCGUUUCCCAUCGCAAGAAGGAUUAACUUACCGGAGGAUUCUGGGACUGCAGAUGUAUACUGCGGCAAAAUCCUAAAUUCAUCGAAAAAAUCAUUUCUGGACUCCAGCUGCUAAAAAUAAUAGAAUUAUAGUAAAUCAUGGAUAAGAUUAAAACAAGCCAUUUUCACCUUCCAAA
Molecule: long non-coding RNA, 201 nt
Filed under: Homo sapiens (human)
Lineage: Eukaryota; Metazoa; Chordata; Mammalia; Primates; Hominidae
Description: HSALNT0053452
Source: RNAcentral